GGCGCCGGCGAUAGCACGUUGAAUGCAUCGGUUUCUAAUGGUUGACUAUAGUUAAACAACGUUGCACGUGGUAUCCGGAUGGGUGACCAUCUGGGCAGUCGCGUGCUGUUUUUU
This 114-nucleotide ribosomal RNA is filed under the name Diaphorina citri (Asian citrus psyllid). The record is from RNAcentral. Lineage: Eukaryota; Metazoa; Arthropoda; Insecta; Hemiptera; Psyllidae.